This is a long non-coding RNA of Drosophila albomicans, 268 nucleotides long. RefSeq lists it as uncharacterized. The transcript has 2 exons. NCBI's taxonomy places the organism in Eukaryota, Metazoa, Arthropoda, Insecta, Diptera, Drosophilidae. The record is from RefSeq and is a predicted model, not a curated record.
GUUGUUUAUUUUUAAUAAUAGAUAUAAUUCGACAUCACUUGUUAUAUUUUGCUAGCCAAUCAAGUUUGUUUCGAAUUUUGACAAGCCAAUUUUUGCCCCCGAAAAUCAACAAAAAUCGAAUAGAAAACAUAAUUUUGACACUAGAGUCGCGAUACUUCUUCGAUACUGGAAUUUAUGUGGCUGUCAAAUCAGUAGUUCCUCAUUCGAAACAGCUUUCGGGUACUUGGAAUUUUCUCAACAUUCAAUUUCACUGAUUUUUGUGUUUGUG